Hypomontagnella submonticulosa is the source of this 105-nucleotide non-coding RNA. NCBI's taxonomy places the organism in Eukaryota, Fungi, Ascomycota, Sordariomycetes, Xylariales, Hypoxylaceae. The record is from the annotation of a GenBank genome assembly.
GGUGCCAUCGUCUAGUGGCAGGACAGCACGUUGUGGCUUACGAUCUCUUAAAGGUUGUAAAAAGCAACUUCCGUGCAAACGGCGGUUCGAUCCCGUCUGGCGCCA